This 634-nucleotide ribosomal RNA is filed under the name uncultured bacterium. RNAcentral's name for it is "bacterial SSU rRNA". It matches the Rfam family "Bacterial small subunit ribosomal RNA", at positions 8 to 642 of the family's 1533-position model. The record is from RNAcentral.
AGAGUUUGAUUAUGGCUCAGGAUGAACGCUGGCGGCGUGCUUAACACAUGCAAGUCGAGCGAAGCGCAUAAGUUUGAUUCUUCGGAUGAAGAUUUAUGCGACUGAGCGGCGGACGGGUGAGUAACGCGUGGGUAACCUGCCUUACACAGGGGGAUAACAGUUAGAAAUGACUGCUAAUACCGCAUAAGACCCCGGUACCGCAUGGUACAGAGGUAAAAACUGAGGUGGUGUAAGAUGGACCCGCGUCUGAUUAGGUAGUUGGUGAGGUAACGGCUCACCAAGCCGACGAUCAGUAGCCGGCCUGAGAGGGUGGACGGCCACAUUGGGACUGAGACACGGCCCAGACUCCUACGGGAGGCAGCAGUGGGGAAUAUUGCACAAUGGGGGAAACCCUGAUGCAGCGACGCCGCGUGAGCGAUGAAGUAUUUCGGUAUGUAAAGCUCUAUCAGCAGGGAAGAAAAUGACGGUACCUGACUAAGAAGCCCCGGCUAACUACGUGCCAGCAGCCGCGGUAAUACGUAGGGGGCAAGCGUUAUCCGGAUUUACUGGGUGUAAAGGGAGCGUAGACGGCAUGGCAAGCCAGAUGUGAAAUACCGGGGCUCAACCCCGGGACUGCAUUUGGAACUGUUAAGCU